GUUCCCUCCCCAUGUGAGAUAAUUGUGCUAACUAGCCAAGCCCUUUAUGCUGAACAGGGAAAGGUUUCCUCUUGCUGUCCUGAGGUUUCAAAGAGACAUUCAGUUGGAUGGACUGGAUGGAAUUUUCAUCACAAGGAACGUUGGAGUUUCACUGCUAAGAUGCUGAACACACGCCAUUGACAUUUAAGGUGCUGCAUUUUCAAUUAUCUUGCUUCUUGAGAAUUGUGAAAACAUAAUCACUACUGUUUAACAACAACACCUACAACAACAAUUUACAUCCUGUAAUAUUAUGUAUAUUUUGACAAAUGUCAUAUGUCCUUUGUGAUUUUGAAAAUAAGGUGGUUGCAUUCUUUCUUUUGUGAACUGCUAUGAAGGAUAUUCCCUAUUAGAAGGAUUACUUCAGUAUCCAGUUAUGAAACAUAUAACACCACUGAAUUUGGUAACAAGACAAAAAGCUAAUAUGUAAUAUUUCUUUCUGAAAUGUAAAAAAAAUAAUUGCAGUGUUUUGUUUUGGUACUAAAGUAUGUUGUGAUUUGUUUUUAAAUAGAAAGCCUUAUACUCAAUGUUCAGUGGUACAUUAUUUUUAUUUUGAAUGCUAGUAUAAUCCAAGCAUGUAUUGUACCUUAUUCUGACAUAAAUGGUGUAACCCCCUUAAAUGCUAUCAAGAAUGCCAGAACUGCAAAUUCUGAAUUUCCAGCCAUUAUUUUCCACUAUGGUGAAAAAAGCAUGGUGUGCCAGUCACAAAUGGGAAUAUGAGUGUUAAAAGAAAUCAAUUGUGUGCUGAUUAAGUGUAAAGUUAUAGGAUCUGUUAUCCAGAAACUAUUCAGAAAGCCCCCAUAGAUUUUAAACAACAAUUAAACAAUGUAAGUUAUUCUCCUUUUCUCUGAAAUCAUAAAAGAAUACCUUGUGCCUGAUCCAAACUAAGAUUUAACAAAUUCGUAUUGCAUGCAAAACAACUUAAUUGGGGUUAUUUAAUGUUUUAGUAGACUUAUAAUAUGGUGAUCCAAAUUUCAGAAAGACACCUUAUCCGGAAAACCCCAGGUCCUAAGCAUUCUGGUCCCAUACCUGUACAUAUAUUUUGUUCUACAGACUGUUAUACAUAAGAACUGACAACUUUCCUAACUUUGCAAGCAGUUUAAGCCAUGGAGGCACUCCUAUGUAAAAAAAAGUACAUACCGUUAGAUUUCCUAUAAUAUAUACAUUGUUUUGUUAUUGGUGUUUGUUGGCUUGUCAUUUCCUACUCUAUAUUGUAAUAAGUAUUGCAUGUACGUAUGCGUGCACUGCUUAUCUUACAUUUGCUAUGUUUUCAAUGGGCAACAGUGAAAUAGAUGUAAUAAGGCAAUUCUGGCGAUUAACCACAGAUGCUGAUAGGUUAAUUCUUCUAUGUAUUUGUGUGUGUGCUGUUUAAUGAGAGCAUAGAGGAGCGACCCUUUUGAAACUGCAACAACCCAAUUAUUGGUCAUAUCGCUCUACCGGAAUGAGAAAAGUAA
Molecule: long non-coding RNA, 1490 nt
Organism: Xenopus laevis (African clawed frog)
Lineage: Eukaryota; Metazoa; Chordata; Amphibia; Anura; Pipidae
Exons: 3
Source: RefSeq, a predicted model, not a curated record